This 223-nucleotide unclassified non-coding RNA is filed under the name uncultured Thelephoraceae. RNAcentral's name for it is "sequence contains ITS2". The record is from RNAcentral. Lineage: Eukaryota; Fungi; Basidiomycota; Agaricomycetes; Thelephorales; Thelephoraceae.
ACAUCUCAACUCUUCGCGGUUUGCCCGUGACGAGCUUGGACUUUGGGGGUCUUGCCGGCCUGUGGGUCGGCUCCUCUCAAACAAAUCAGCUUGCCGGUGUUUGGUGGCGUCACAGGUGUGAUAACUAUCUACGCUUGUGGUUCUCUGCCAGGUAACCUCCAGCAAUACGGGGGUUCGCCGGAGCUCACAAAUGUCUCUCCUCGGUGAGGACGGCUCUUUGAAC